GAGUUUGAUCAUGGCUCAGAUUGAACGCUGGCGGCAUGCUUUACACAUGCAAGUCGAGCGGCAGCGCGGGGGCAACCCUGGCGGCGAGCGGCGAACGGGUGAGUAAUACAUCGGAACGUACCCCGUAGUGGGGGAUAACCCGGCGAAAGCCGGACUAAUACCGCAUAUGCUCUACGGAGGAAAGUGGGGGACCCGCAAGGGCCUCAUGCUAUGGGAGCGGCCGAUGUCCGAUUAGCUUGUUGGCGGGGUAAAGGCCCACCAAGGCGACGGUCGGUAGCUGGUCUGAGAGGAUGAUCAGCCACACUGGGACUGAGACACGGCCCAGACUCCUACGGGAGGCAGCAGUGGGGAAUUUUGGACAAUGGGGGCAACCCUGAUCCAGCCAUGCCGCGUGCGGGAAGAAGGCCUUCGGGUUGUAAACCGCUUUUGUCCGGGAAGAAAAGGCAUCUCCUAAUACGAGGUGCUCUUGACGGUACUGGAAGAAUAAGCACCGGCUAACUACGUGCCAGCAGCCGCGGUAAUACGUAGGGUGCGGGCGUUAAUCGGAAUUACUGGG
Molecule: ribosomal RNA, 556 nt
Filed under: uncultured bacterium
Lineage: Bacteria
Description: bacterial SSU rRNA
Rfam family: Bacterial small subunit ribosomal RNA
Source: RNAcentral